GUAGGGGGCAAGCGUUGUCCGGAAUUAUUGGGCGUAAAGCGCGCGCAGGCGGUUCCUUAAGUCUGAUGUGAAAGCCCACGGGCUCAACCGUGGAGGGUCAUUGGAAACUGGGGAACUUGAGUACAGAAGAGGAGAGUGGAAUUCCACGUGUAGCGGUGAAAUGCGUAGAUAUGUGGAGGAACACCAGUGGCGAAGGCGACUCUCUGGUCUGUAACUGACGCUGAGGCGCGAAAGCGUGGGGAGCAAACAGGAUUAGAUACCCUGGUAGUCCACGCCGUAAACGAUGAGUGCUGGGUGUUAGGGGGCUUCCACCCCUUAGUGCUGAAGUUAACGCAUUAAGCACUCCGCCUGGGGAGUACGGCCGCAAGGCUG
This 372-nucleotide ribosomal RNA is filed under the name uncultured organism. Its description in RNAcentral is "partial 16S ribosomal RNA". It matches the Rfam family "Bacterial small subunit ribosomal RNA", at positions 527 to 896 of the family's 1533-position model. The record is from RNAcentral.